This is a non-coding RNA of Paramuricea clavata, 1272 nucleotides long. The record is from the annotation of a GenBank genome assembly. Lineage: Eukaryota; Metazoa; Cnidaria; Anthozoa; Malacalcyonacea; Plexauridae.
AAACAAGUGUAAUGCAGUGUUGACAAUAGAAAAUUAUAUUGGCAAGUUGUCAUUUCUACAGUAAAAACAGCUUUUUUUCAAGUAGUACGAAAUGUGACUUCGAUUUAUCUGUGGAACUAUUUGAACAGAAGGUAAGACAUUAAUUUUGUUGUAUUUAGAAAGCAAUUUCGUGCAUAUUUUCAUAUUAAUCACGUAUUGUUCGAGCGCUAUCCAAGUUGCUCGCCAUAUAUUUUUGCUGUCUCUGCACUGCAAACAGUCCUCUGUCCUGAAUAUCAGCUUUCUCCCUAUAUUUUCAGCCUGUAUGUUAGAGAACUUUUUCGUCUGGCAACUACAAUUCAUUCAUGAUUAAUUUUAUGUUUGUUUUUGUAGGAUAACAAGGCCGAAAUAUUUUACUUUUAAUACUUCGGACCAACUGAACAGCUGGAUGGGUAAUAUUUUAGAACCUGAUAUGACGUUGACUGCAAGUACAAUUUGUCAUUGAAUUUAAAGACUGGGGAAAAGAUUGUACAGCGUGGUGAUAUAACAAUUAUAAAUGAAACAGUGAUUUGAACUGUAGUGUGCAUGUAUUCAUUGUUUGAACAUGAAAAAUAAUUGUUGUCAGACAUGUAUAAAUAUCUUAAAAAAAAAGUAUGAAACAUUUCUCUAAUAGCAUGAUCCCAUGGCUUAACUGCACGUUGUGUUUGCCUGUUUGGAGUUAUGUAUGCCAGUACACAUUUUGAAUUAGUAAGUAGGUUGACGUGGCCUUUAAUACUUCAGGUAGUUGAAUCCAUAUAAAUCUUGGAACAAUGAGCUAGUCUAUCCCCAUCUUGUUUGUGAUAGACCUUGGGAAAUGGAUUGCUGAGGGAGAGUGCCACACCACCCAUUGGCUACUUACUACCCACAUAAGUGCUACUCACACUUUGAGUGGGCAAGGACCUGUAUCAAACCUGCAACCUUUCGAUUACAAGGCUAAUUCUCUACCAACUUUUAUUUGACUGCUUUUAGGUCUCACUCCCAUUGUGUAAAUAACCAGGUUAAUCUAUUAUCCAGUGCAGUAUAAAGCUUUUCUGGAUUUGGGAAGUGGGUAGGACUGUCAAAGUCAUUAACAGGGGGGUUAUAAUUAGACUCACUUGUUAUAAUGAUAUAAAAUUAGAAAUAAUUUUUAUUAUAAUAUUAGAAAAUUAAAAAAUUAGAGCCACUUAUUAUAAUAAUAUAGGAUAAUAAUAGAAAUGCUUCUUAUUAAUAUAUUGUCUACACUUUGAAACAAAAUACUUAUGACCAUUCUAACAGUGC